RNAcentral lists this ribosomal RNA (123 nucleotides) under Sinocyclocheilus anshuiensis. Lineage: Eukaryota; Metazoa; Chordata; Actinopteri; Cypriniformes; Cyprinidae. The record is from RNAcentral.
UCGCAGCCAUAUCACCCUGUAGCCCUGUAGCCCAAGACUGGUUGCCCACUGAAGCUACGCAGGGUUGAGCCUGGUCAGUACCUGGAUGGGAGACCUCCUGGGAAAACUAGGUUGCUGCUGGAA